This 97-nucleotide non-coding RNA is filed under the name Pseudomonas monteilii. RNAcentral describes it as "SAH sequence". It matches the Rfam family "SAH (S-adenosyl-L-homocysteine) riboswitch aptamer". The record is from RNAcentral. Lineage: Bacteria; Pseudomonadati; Pseudomonadota; Gammaproteobacteria; Pseudomonadales; Pseudomonadaceae.
CCGUCCGAGGGGCGCUGCAGCAGGUUCGACCUGUCAGGCUCGGUCGGGGCGUUGUCCGUCUCGCGGACGCUCAAACGCACAACGGCGCCCAUUCGCU